AUGCAGUCGAGGGGUAGAGGAGAGCUUGCUUUCCUUGAGACCGGCGCACGGGUGCGUAACGCGUAUGCAACCUACCUUAAUCUGGGGGAUAGCCUCUCGAAAGAGAGAUUAACACCGCAUAAAAUCAAAGAACGGCAUCGUUUAAUGAUCAAAUAUUNAUAGGAUUAAGAUGGGCAUGCGUGACAUUAGCUAGUUGGUGAGGUAACGGCUCACCAAGGCGACGAUGUCUAGGGGAUCUGAGAGGAUGACCCCCCACACUGGUACUGAGACACGGACCAGACUCCUACGGGAGGCAGCAGUAAGGAAUAUUGGUCAAUGGAGGCAACUCUGAACCAGCCAUGCCGCGUGCAGGAAGACGGCCCUACGGGUUGUAAACUGCUUUUAUUCGGGAAUAAACCUUUUUACGUGUAAGAAGUUGAAUGUACCGAAAGAAUAAGGAUCGGCUAACUCCGUGCCAGCAGCCGCGGUAAUACGGAGGAUCCAAGCGUUAUCCGGAUUUAUUGGGUUUAAAGGGUGCGUAGGCGGCUUAUUAAGUCAGGGGUGAAAGACGGUGGCUCAACCAUCGCAGUGCCUUUGAUACUGAUGAGCUUGAAUACACUAGAGGUAGGCGGAAUGUGACAAGUAGCGGUGAAAUGCAUAGAUAUGUCACAGAACACCAAUUGCGAAGGCAGCUUACUAUGGUGUCAUUGACGCUGAGGCACGAAAGCGUGGGGAUCAAACAGGAUUAGAUACCCUGGUAGUCCACGCCCUAAACGAUGAAUACUCGAUGUUAGCGAUAUACAGUUAGCGUCUAAGCGAAAGCGUUAAGUAUUCCACCUGGGGAGUACGCCCGCAAGGGUGAAACUCAAAGGAAUUGACGGGGGCCCGCACAAGC
RNAcentral lists this ribosomal RNA (874 nucleotides) under Sphingobacteriaceae bacterium 26-13PB. Its description in RNAcentral is "bacterial SSU rRNA". It matches the Rfam family "Bacterial small subunit ribosomal RNA", at positions 55 to 930 of the family's 1533-position model. The record is from RNAcentral. Lineage: Bacteria; Pseudomonadati; Bacteroidota; Sphingobacteriia; Sphingobacteriales; Sphingobacteriaceae.